Molecule: non-coding RNA, 428 nt
Organism: Pelobates cultripes (western spadefoot toad)
Lineage: Eukaryota; Metazoa; Chordata; Amphibia; Anura; Pelobatidae
Source: the annotation of a GenBank genome assembly
GUAGAAGGAGGUGUAUGCGGAAAGUUUAAUCUAAGUAACUGUUGUCUGCACAUAGAUGAUGAAGGGCAGGCAGUGGCUGAACUUACAAGCCACAUGGUUAAAUUUGUGCAUGUACCUACUCAGGUCUGGAAUGGGUAUAACCUAAGUAGUUGGUUUGGAAGUUGGUAUGAGCAGCUUGGAGGAAUUAAGACAUUAGUAGGAGGAGUAGAAUUUAUUAUUUUUUUUGUGCCUCCUCCUGCCCUGUCUAAUUCCACUAGUGGUAAGGUCCCUAAGUAGUAUUAUAGAGAGUACUAUAGAGAGAAAGACAGCGGCUCAUGUAAUGGCUGUCUGGAAGAUAUGAUCCCCUAGCCCGAAGAGAAUAUAUUCAGGAUGAAGAAUGUUGAAGGAGUUUUUAAGAUGCUUACAAGGUCUACUCUGGUUCAAUGGCU